AGAGUUUGAUCAUGGCUCAGGAUGAACGCUAGCGGGAGGCCUAACACAUGCAAGCCGAGCGGUAUAGAAUCUUCGGAUUUUAGAGAGCGGCGUACGGGUGCGGAACACGUGUGCAACCUACCUUUAUCUGGAGGAUAGCCUUUCGAAAGGAAGAUUAAUACUCCAUAAUAUAUUGAUUGGCAUCAAUUAAUAUUGAAAGCUCCGGCGGAUAGAGAUGGGCACGCGCAAGAUUAGUUAGUUGGUGAGGUAACGGCUCACCAAGACGAUGAUCUUUAGGGGGGCCUGAGAGGGUGAUCCCCACACUGGUACUGAGACACGGACCAGACUCCUACGGGAGGCAGCAGUGAGGGAUAUUGGACAAUGGGUGCAAGCCUGAUCCAGCCAUCCCGCGUGAAGGACGACUGCCUAUGGGUUGUAAACUUCUUUUGUAUAGGGAUAAACCUCUCCUCGUGAGGAGAGCUGAAGGUACUAUACGAAUAAGCACCGGCUAACUCCGUG
This 498-nucleotide ribosomal RNA is filed under the name uncultured bacterium. RNAcentral describes it as "bacterial SSU rRNA". It matches the Rfam family "Bacterial small subunit ribosomal RNA", at positions 8 to 507 of the family's 1533-position model. The record is from RNAcentral.